ACGUUGUAAUGCAUUUAUAGGUGA
RNAcentral lists this non-coding RNA (24 nucleotides) under Arabidopsis thaliana (thale cress). Lineage: Eukaryota; Viridiplantae; Streptophyta; Magnoliopsida; Brassicales; Brassicaceae. The record is from RNAcentral.